CCCCCAGCUGCCACCCGGGAGGCCAGCCCCACAUUUCAGCUCCCUGCCCAGCCUUGCCUUUGGAGACUUUCCUUCAAAACCAGUGACCCUUGACAGUUUUCCCUGUGUCCCCAAGAGAUAUUUAAGUCUUAACCCCCAGUACCUGCGAGUGUUGAACCCUAUUUGGAAAUCAGGCCUUUGCAGAUGAUAUAGUUAAGAUGAAGUCAUCAGGCUAGAUGGUGUCUUCAUAAAUAGGGGGAAUUUGGACUUCACAGUUGUGAAAAUACAGAGACAACACCAUCGAUAAGCCAAGGAAUGGUGGAGAAGACCAGAUGUAAGAGAGAGGUGUAGGACAGCCUCCCAGCCCUCCCAGGCAGCCAGUCCUGUUGACACCUUGAUUUAGAACUUCUAGCCUCGGAACUGAGAGACAAUAAACUUCUGUUGUUUGAAGUACUAGUGGUGGAACUUUAGGCAGCCCUAGGAAACUAGUGUACCCCAUGCUAGCCUUUUCACCGAGGAAAUCAGAAUUAAGGCUGUUCAUCAGGACUCCCCAUUUAGCCCUAAUCCCUGACGUCACUUGUUGCUGGUAAAGCAAUGCCCUAAGAAUAUGAACUACCCGUGGGCAUGGUUGAUGUGUCCCCAGGAGAAUCUCCAGCCACAAGGAGUUUCUACCAGCAGGGAUGGGUGUUCUACAAGGCUGGACAGUUUAGGCUCCUGCAGAUGAAAGAGAGGAAGCUCUUGCUGCUGACUGAUGUUUAUCGGGUGAUCUCUAUGCUGGGAGCCCCGAC
Molecule: long non-coding RNA, 767 nt
Filed under: Mustela putorius furo (domestic ferret)
Lineage: Eukaryota; Metazoa; Chordata; Mammalia; Carnivora; Mustelidae
Description: lncRNA (ENSMPUG00000026928.1)
Source: RNAcentral